AAGUCGUAACAAGGUUUCCGUAGGUGAACCUGCGGAAGGAUCAUUAACACGUAUCCAAACGUUAAAACCCCCCCCCCGUGAACCUUCAUCCUGCUCUUGUAACCCGCGUAGUGAUUCAGAGACCUCUGGCUACGUGCGAACAUUGGAACAGUUACAAUCGAGCGGUAGUUCUAUAGGCAAUGUUUCCCCAAGCAGUCAGUGUCGGAAAGUGUCAUUGAUUGUGCAAGGAUAGCGCUUCUACGAUUCCUGUAGACCGUACACUCGGGCAGGAGCUUUGCCAAAGGGUCCCCAUGCCCCCUAAUAACCCCACAGUUUAAUGUGAAGCUCAAUGUAAUACAUUGGGUAAAAAAACCGAACAACUGUUAACAAUGGAUAUCUUGGUUCUC
This 386-nucleotide unclassified non-coding RNA is filed under the name fungal sp. RNAcentral describes it as "partial internal transcribed spacer region". The stretch from base 1 to 46 matches the Rfam family "Eukaryotic small subunit ribosomal RNA", at positions 1786 to 1831 of the family's 1831-position model. Lineage: Eukaryota; Fungi. The record is from RNAcentral.